RNA transcript from Tripterygium wilfordii, 1607 nucleotides. It is a transcript of the gene named peptidyl-prolyl cis-trans isomerase CYP40-like, with no coding region annotated. The transcript is spliced from 10 exons. The record is from RefSeq and is a predicted model, not a curated record. NCBI's taxonomy places the organism in Eukaryota, Viridiplantae, Streptophyta, Magnoliopsida, Celastrales, Celastraceae.
AAACACAACGCGGCUAGGCUUCCCGUCCGUCUGUAUCUUCUUGUGAGGCAGAGGAAGUGGAAACUUCAGUAAAGAGAAAGAGAGAGACAGAGAGAGAGAGCGAUGGAGAGGAAGAGGUGCUUCUUGGACAUCAGCAUCGGAGGGGAACUUGAAGGACGGAUAGUUGUGGAGCUCUAUAACGACGUCGUUCCCAAAACCACCGAGAAUUUCAGGGCUCUUUGCACUGGCGAGAAGGGCAUUGGCCCCAAUACUGGUGUCCCCCUCCAUUACAAGGGAUGCCGCUUUCAUCGCGUGAUUAAAGGGUUUAUGGUGCAAGGUGGAGAUAUAUCUGCUGGAGAUGGUACUGGGGGAGAAUCUAUAUAUGGAUUGAAAUUUGAGGAUGAAAAUUUUGAGCUUAAACAUGAAAGGAAAGGCAUGUUAUCCAUGGCCAACUCUGGCCCUAACACUAAUGGGUCUCAAUUUUUCAUCACAACAACCCGCACUUCUCAUCUUGAUGGAAAACACGUUGUGUUUGGGAAGGUUGUUAAAGGAAUGGGAGUUGUUCGCUCAAUUGAGCACGUUACAGGUGGCGAUGGUGAUUGUCCCAGUGUGGAUGUAGUAAUUGCUGAUUGUGGAGAAAUUCCACAGGGGACAGAUGAUGGAAUCAGUAAUUUCUUUAAAGAUGGUGAUGAAUAUCCGGAUUGGCCUGCUGACCUAGAUGAGAGUUCUAACGACCUCUCUUGGUGGAUGGAGGCUGUAGAAUCUAUCAAGGCUCAUGGAAAUGAUCAUUUCAAGAAACAGGACUACAAAAUGGCUCUUAGAAAGUACAGGAAGGCUUUGCGCUAUCUGGAUAUCUGCUGGGAAAAGGAAGGGAUUGAUGAAGAGAAGAGUUCUUGUUUGAGACAGACUAAGUCGCUUAUAUUCACCAAUAGCUCUGCUUGUAAAUUAAAGCUGGGGGAUCUUAAAGGAGCUUUACUAGAUACAGAUUUUGCAAUACGUGAUGGUGAAAACAAUGUUAAAGCUUUGUUUCGUCAAGGGCAGGCAUACAUGGCAUUAAAUGAUGUUGAUGCUGCAGUUGAAAGCUUCAAAAAGGCAUUGGAAUUGGAGCCAAGUAAUGGUGGAAUAAAAAAAGAGUUUGCUGCUGCUAAGAAGAAGAUUUCCAAUAGACAUGAUGAGGAGAAGAAGCGAUAUCGUAAAAUGUUCCAAUAGCACUUGUUAGCAGUUGGCAACUUGUAUCCCAAUGUGAAAUGGUUCUGGCUUUCCAACUUUACGAGCCUAUCAUUUUGAGGGGGGGUGAGGGUUUGCUUCAAGCUGUGGAACCCGCAGUACAAAAUUGAACCGUUGAGAUUUGGAGGCUUGAACCAAUUUUGAUACAAGUUUUAACUGGAUUAUAGCUUUGGAAAUUCAGAACCAGAUAGGGCUGAUGAAUUCGCUGCUGAAAUGACAUUUUGUUUGAAAUGAUCGCCGCGGUUUAAUGACUGUCUAUAAAAUAGACAAAAUUUUGGACUUAAUUCUUAUGCUUUUGCUUUUGCUUGGUGACUCAGAGACUAUUUUAUGCAUACUGAAUAUUUUGUGCUUUGAUGUUGGAAUUUUUUGUCAAUCACAUUUCAAAUAUGGUUUUGGCGCCA